UACGUAGGAGGCAAGCGUUGUCCGGAUUUACUGGGCGUAAAGGGCGCGUAGGCGGCCUUCUAAGUCGAACGUGAAAUCCCCGGGCUCAACCCGGGAACUGCGUCCGAUACUGGAAGGCUUGAAUCCGGGAGAGGGAUGUGGAAUUCCAGGUGUAGCGGUGAAAUGCGUAGAUAUCUGGAGGAACACCGGUGGCGAAGGCGACAUCCUGGACCGGUAUUGACGCUGAGGCGCGAAAGCCAGGGGAGCAAACGGG
RNAcentral lists this ribosomal RNA (253 nucleotides) under uncultured bacterium. Its description in RNAcentral is "partial 16S ribosomal RNA". It matches the Rfam family "Bacterial small subunit ribosomal RNA", at positions 524 to 776 of the family's 1533-position model. The record is from RNAcentral.